GAUGAACGCUGGCGGCGUGCCUAAUACAUGCAAGUCGAGCGAACAGACGAGGAGCUUGCUUCUCUGAUGUUAGCGGCGGACGGGUGAGUAACACGUGGAUAACCUACCUAUAAGACUGGGAUAACUUCGGGAAACCGGAGCUAAUACCGGAUGAUAUUUUGAACCGCAUGGUUCAAAAGUGAAAGACGGUUUUGCUGUCACUUAUAGAUGGAUCCGCGCUGCAUUAGCUAGUUGGUAAGGUAACGGCUUACCAAGGCAACGAUGCAUAGCCGACCUGAGAGGGUGAUCGGCCACACUGGAACUGAGACACGGUCCAGACUCCUACGGGAGGCAGCAGUAGGGAAUCUUCCGCAAUGGGCGAAAGCCUGACGGAGCAACGCCGCGUGAGUGAUGAAGGUCUUCGGAUCGUAAAACUCUGUUAUUAGGGAAGAACAUAUGUGUAAGUAACUGUGCACAUCUUGACGGUACCUAAUCAGAAAGCCACGGCUAACUACGUG
Molecule: ribosomal RNA, 497 nt
Filed under: uncultured bacterium
Lineage: Bacteria
Description: partial 16S ribosomal RNA
Rfam family: Bacterial small subunit ribosomal RNA
Source: RNAcentral